UACGGAGGAUGCAAGCGUUAUCCGGAUUUAUUGGGCGUAAAGCGAGCGCAGGCGGUUCCUUAAGUCUGAUGUGAAAGCCCACGGCUCAACCGUGGAAGGUCAUUGGAAACUGGGGAACUUGAGUGCAGAAGAGGAGAGUGGAAUUCCAUGUGUAGCGGUGAAAUGCGUAGAUAUAUGGAGGAACACCAGUGGCGAAGGCGACUCUCUGGUCUGUAACUGACGCUGAGGCUCGAAAGCGUGGGGAGCAAACAGGAUUAGA
Molecule: ribosomal RNA, 259 nt
Filed under: uncultured prokaryote
Description: partial 16S ribosomal RNA
Rfam family: Bacterial small subunit ribosomal RNA
Source: RNAcentral